UACAAGGGGGGCGAGCGUUGUUCGGAAUUAUUGGGCGUAAAGGGUGCGUAGGCGGUUUGGUAAGUCUUGUGUGAAAUCUUCGGGCUUAACUCGAAGUCUGCACUGGAAACUGCCGGGCUUGAGUGUGGGAGAGGGAAGCGGAAUUCCCGGUGUAGUGGUGGAAUGCGUAGAUAUCGGGAGGAACACCAGUGGCGAAGGCGGCUUCCUGGACCGGUUCUGACACUGAGGAGCGAAAGCGUGGGGAGCGAUCCGG
Molecule: ribosomal RNA, 253 nt
Filed under: uncultured bacterium
Lineage: Bacteria
Description: partial 16S ribosomal RNA
Rfam family: Bacterial small subunit ribosomal RNA
Source: RNAcentral